RNAcentral lists this long non-coding RNA (308 nucleotides) under Brassica napus (rape). RNAcentral describes it as "long non-coding RNA (BNAP_LNC007606)". Lineage: Eukaryota; Viridiplantae; Streptophyta; Magnoliopsida; Brassicales; Brassicaceae. The record is from RNAcentral.
UCGGGGAUUAAGAGGCAUAAAACUUGUGCCUUAUACACCUUGUUAGGGGAUUUUUAUGUAGGCUCUUUGUGAGUACUACGGAACGUUGGACAAGUUGGUAAACCGGAUAAGUUUGUAUGUAUUUCGUAAGGAUUUAGGGAGGAUUUAUGAAGGAUAAUAAAGAGAUAGACUUGAAGAGACUUUUAUUAGAUAGAGUAAGCAAGAACAAGAGAGGUUACAAAGUAUUCAAUAAGAACCCUAGUUCUAGCCGUCUAGUUUUAGUCUCUAAGCCUUGGGGAAGUCGAUCAUUUGCUUUAGGGUUUUAGUAG